This 505-nucleotide ribosomal RNA is filed under the name uncultured bacterium. Its description in RNAcentral is "bacterial SSU rRNA". It matches the Rfam family "Bacterial small subunit ribosomal RNA", at positions 28 to 523 of the family's 1533-position model. The record is from RNAcentral.
GAUGAACGCUAGCGGCAGGCUUAAUACAUGCAAGUCGUGGGGCAGCAGGUUUGUAGCAAUACAGAUGCUGGCGACCGGCAAACGGGUGCGGAACACGUACAGAACCUUCCUUUGAGCGGGGAAUAGCCCAGAGAAAUUUGGAUUAAUACCCCAUAGUAUAAUGAAGUGGCAUCACUUUAUUAUUAAAGAUUUAUCACUCGAAGAUGGCUGUGCGGCUGAUUAGGUAGUUGGCGGGGUAAAGGCCCACCAAGCCUGCGAUCAGUAACUGGUGUGAGAGCACGACCAGUCACACGGGCACUGAGACACGGGCCCGACUCCUACGGGAGGCAGCAGUAAGGAAUAUUGGUCAAUGGAGGCAACUCUGAACCAGCCAUGCCGCGUGGAGGAUGAAGGUCCUCUGGAUUGUAAACUUCUUUUAUAUGGGACGAAAAAAAGGCUUUUCUAAGUCGUCUGACGGUACCAUAUGAAUAAGCGCCGGCUAACUCCGUGCCAGCAGCCGCGGUAA